Molecule: non-coding RNA, 5676 nt
Organism: Paramuricea clavata
Lineage: Eukaryota; Metazoa; Cnidaria; Anthozoa; Malacalcyonacea; Plexauridae
Source: the annotation of a GenBank genome assembly
CUGUUGUCGUAGAGUAACAUUCAAAACUAUUAUUAGAUCGGAGCUGAAACGAUCCAUUAUGACAAUUGUUUUAAUUGUUCACGUUAUCAAUACAGAAGGAGUUAUAAACAGGGUUUCCUAGCUUGCCUGUCAGAUGCGUUCAAUGUUUGAUGGUGAACAGUUGUAGAUUGACAAGACAUUUAAUUGGUGGACCAAAAAGCCGUAUCAGUUUUCAUAUUCUUCAAGAUCGCGUGGGCCACGUAAGUUUUUAUUUCGUUCUGAUUAAGAUUACUUAAGCCUGGUUUCCAUAUGGUCGUAACGGUCGUAAAGAUUGAGUCACGAUUUUUCUCAUCGGCCGAAAUACAACAUUUUAGAACUGAAAAUACGCGGAGUGAUUAUAACUAGAGAAUACUUAUGAAUUAUAUGUGGUUUCCAGGUAUAAACAAUAAAAAUAGGUCCGCAACGCGUACAUGUGUCUCUCGCCCGAAUGUACAGACUGUGCGUUCCCUCUUGUUGUACGGUCACAACAUUAUCGUGGGGGCAUAGUCUGGGGUUAUGUUUGUUUGCCUAAAUUUCAAGUCCUUGAAAGCUGUUUGUUCCAACAACUGGAAUAACAACUGAGAGGUUCAAUCCAAGUUCGUUUUGAUGCGAUAACCAAACAAGUAGAAGGUGCUAUAAUUAAGCAAGUAGGGCAAAAAGGCAAAGCAAUUCCCAAUUAUUUAAUUUUUUGUAAUUCAAGCUGCUCAUUGAUUGCAACCUAACGGCUAACACACAGAAACUUACAAGACCAAUGGCAAUAUAUCGUAUUGUAUAUAUCAAGUGUGUAUGUUGAUAGUACAUCAGGAUUCAGGAGAAAAUUGCAAUAAAGAAUUACCAGUAUAAAUCAAUCCUAAAGCAGGCACAAAUAUACCAAUUAUUGAAAGAGUGCAUACUGUAUUUAUAUGCUGCUGUUCACUAAUAGUCAAACCAUUACUUAAUUAAAACACACGUCUAUCAUACGCCUUUUUAGAAUGUACAUAACCAGGGACGCCCGAAGAUCGAUAAUUGGGGGGGGGCAGAUAUUCAUAUAUUCCUGUUCUGCCCAAUUAAUUUCUUUUGAAAUCGAUUGUUUUUACAGUCUGUGAACACGAAUAUAUGAAUAUCUGCCCCCCCCCCAAAUAUCGAUCUUCCGGCGUCCCUGUACAUAACCCUUUGAAAUCUGACAAUGGCCAUAAGCUCUGAACAGCUUUGUUGGGAUAUAAACUUCUGAAUUCCUCAUUUCUGACCAUGUUUCUCACACUAUUCAUAAGCUAGAAAAUUCCAGCUCGUCAAUGUUUUGACAUGUUUCGGCAAAUCUAAAUCGUAUUUCCGGUCAAAAAUAUCCCGCUGACUUCAUUAUUAACAUCGCAACAGAUUGAAAUACGGAAAUAAAAGAUCAAAAACUGAGGCUACAAGCUUGAAAAUAAUUCUGUAAAUAGUGCUUUUGAUUGUGAAUCGAACAAGAUAACAACGAAAAAGAUAUGUUCGAAGGGGCCGAAGUUGUGUCCGGCAAAGUGUAUAUGGCUUUAGUGAUACAUGUUUACAUUUUUCGGUAAUUCAAGUUUUUGAAAUACAGUAGAACCCGGCCACCUCGAACUCCCAAGAAGAACGAAAAAUUGUUUGAGUUAGCGAGGGUUCGAAUUAACCGGAGUUGGUGUCAGAUUUCGUUUAUUAUGUUAAUAAUUAAUAAUUAAUAAGGUAUAAAAGUUUUAUUAUACUGUUCAUCAAAGUUACAAAAAGUUUAAUUGUGCAUCCUUAUAACUAAAGUAUUUUAGUCAGUAUCUUUUUAACUUGGGUGAUGGAGAAGGCAUGCAAGUUCCAUGCAAACUAAAGUUCUUUGGACAGGAAAAAUAUGUAGAGAUUUACAAAAGGAACUAAAAAACCGACUAAAUUGUUGUUAUUUGAAUAAAAAUCCAAAUUACCGGUUGUCAAAAUGCUAUGUUCUGACAUUUUAAGGUUUGCCGCUCCACCACUCGAAAACAAAGUUCGAGUUAACGGGAUAAAUUUGACCGAGGGAAAACAAAAUUUGUUCGAAUUAGCGAAGAGUUCGAGUUAAGCGAGUUCGAGUUAGCGGGGGACUACUGUAUGAUAUUUCUUGGACCCUAAAAGGUCAUAAAUCGCGAUAAUGUUUGUCUUUGACUAUUAAAACUAUCGUCAGGACUUACUGUCUUGAUAUUUUUUCACUGAAUCGAAAUAUCGAAUGGUGGUAUUUUCAUCUACAUAUUAUUUACUGAGCCGAAUAUAUGAACCUGCAAAAUAGUAUUCCACUAUCGACCUAGUUUUCUCAGGGUUAAAACUCACAUGUCUACCAUGCGCCUUUUUAGCAUAGGCGUACGAGGCGGGGGGUGCCCCCCCCCCCAGUUUAGUCAGAAAUAUUCAUUAGUCGGGCAAUUUGUACUUAAGAGUCGAUCAAUCUUCCUGUGUACUGACUAAUCAAUUAGGUCUUUCCAACAAACAAAUGUUAUUUGAAAAUAGUAAAAAUGCGAAAUAUUUAAAAAUAUUCAAACUAGAAUAUAUGCUUGCAUAAAAGUGACAAAAAUAAUUAAAAUAAACAUGCUUUUCCAUUCGCGCCACUGGCUAUGUACCGUAACUGAUUGGCGCACGCGCUAACUAGCGCUAAACAGACAUCACUCCAAACGAAUCGUGAAGAGACUUUAUCAUUUUAAAGAAAAUCAUAUAUUGAAGCUGUUAAUUGUAACAACGUUGUUCACCAUGUAGUUAUUAAGUAGGUAUUAUGUCAGCGUAUGAAAAAUAUCACUCAUGCCCUGGUAUACGCUGACAUACGUUUCAAACACGGUCGCAUUACUCGCAUACGACGGUAUACGCUGGCAUACGGUGAGACCCGGCGAAAUUAAACAGAAAAAAUUUUUAAGCAUGCUUAAAAAUUUUGUGCGUAUCCGGACGUAUGUUUUAUACGAUAAGCUUACUCUAGACGCACGCUGAAUAAGUAAGUAAGUAAGUAAGUAAGUAAGUGAACUUUAUAUAACCACGGUAGACUCAUCAGGAUUUACAAUAAAAUAGACAAAGGAGAUUACAAAUAACAAAAUAUGGAAAUGCAUUAUUAAUACCUAUAUAGAGGUACGCCAGAGGUACGGUACUCAUACACUGGCAUUUCAACGGACAUGGACUCCAGUCUUCUAUAAAGAAAAUUCCAUCUUGUCAACGAUUCCAACUACGUCAUUGAUGUUCUGCAGAGAGAUGUUUCAGUGGGUAACGAAGGGUGAGGACGUACCUUCGUUCCACAAUGGGUCAAGACAGAAUCAUUGAUGUUUUUGGCCAACGAAGUCACCGUGCCUCACAUUUCUUUUGACAGUAUACAUAAUAUAAUACACGGGAUAAACUUGUUGGGGAGAUUAGGUUAGGUUUUCGGUAAAAGUUACAUUUAUGAUAUUGAAAUAGUCAUCAGACAUAAUGUUGCUUCAUUAAUUUUCUCUUCGUUCCUCGUCCGCUUCAAGCACAAAAUUUCCGACCCCAAAACGCAGGAAGUUCUCGCGCCUUCGCCGCUCGUCGGGCAGAUUGGCAUCUGCCCCCCUUAAAUUUCUAAGCCCGUACGCCUAUGCUUUUUAGAAUGUACAUAUCCGUUUGAAACCUAAAUUCUUUCCCGCCGACAACAACCAUACUGUAUUAAAGCUGUACUAAACAGCUUUGUUGCCAUUGUUGGAAUAUAAUAUGAACUUCUGAAUUUCUCAUUUCUGACACCAGUCAUAAGCUACAACAGUUCCAACUAUAGUCAUAAGCUAAAAAAUUCCAGACGUCAUCUUAUCUGUGGAAACUAGUGAACCACACGUUGUUUUUUUCUAAACAAAUAAUUAUGUUUGCAAACGUACAAAUUCACUAAAUUCAAGUUGCGAUAAUGGCGAUAUUCCGAAUGGUGCCGUACAAGUUUUCGAAAUUAUGCCGAACAAAGGAUCGUGGAACUAUCGGGCACCAUUCAGCAAUUCCCCAAGUUUAACAAUGCUCAUGAAACUUUCAGUAUAACAUAGUGUCGCCACCCGCGAACGGGCGGAGACACAAAAACUGGCCGUUAAGAAAGAUCGUGACUCUAUUUUUACGACUCAUUACGACUGGAAACCAUUAAAGCCUGGUUUCCAUAUGGUCGUAAACGAAGUGCGAUUUCUUCCGCGUUACACGGUGGUGGCAAGCAGAAGAUGUAUUCUGCAUGUGCACGAAGUUUUAUCUGGUUUGUAGAUCUGCGGCAGCGGAAAUCCUUAGCACGGUCAAAAUAGACGACCCAGAAGCUUCACUUAAUAUAUAAUCCAUUAUUUUAGUGUUGACCAGAAUUCUGCAUUAGAACUUUGCGCACCAACUUCAAUGUACCAUAUAUUGAGUUAAAAUAAAUUUCUGUUGGGUAUUCAUGGGUUAAUAACUCAUGAAUACCCAACCACUAGACAUAGCGGGCUUUUUUGGGCAUUUUGUGAAGUUUUAUACAGUUUUUCAAAAAUGAAUAAUUCACGACUUAGAUGCAUAUUUUUGGACAAUGAUUACUAAAUAAUUGUUCAAACACAAAAACUAUCUUACUUCUUAAAAGUAUCAAAAGGACUUGCUUGUUUUAUUGCCAGGAAUCAUUUGGAGAUACUGUUUGAGAUGGAUUCUAAAUUUGUGAUUUUCUUGUUCUGUGUAAUCUUUAUGGUUGAGACAGGGGUCAGAGGUGAAAGUAAAUCCAAAAGCAAGGUAAGGAUUCUCCUUUUCGUUGUCAUUAUAGCUAAGCUUCGUAUUACUGCAGUAUAUGGAAAUAAAUUAAAGCAUUUUAAUAGACUGACAGUCUGACAACAUGCAGCGCUAAAACAUAUUUUGGUUGCAGUGACAAACCUACUAACCUAGCCUCUGUAUACAGACUGUAUUAGUCUGUAAUACAGCUUGUGGAAAUUCGUGGCAUUGCUUGUCGACCCCCAGCAGCGCUACCAAGAUCUGGGUAGUUGAUUCUGAUUGGUCACGACCGAAUGUAAUGGAUUUUGAUUGGCUAGUCUUAAAUAUCAACAAACGUUGGAAUUUGAUUUUCACAAUCAAAAUAAUACUUUCUUGACACUUAUAAGCGAUGUUCAUUGUAAAUUUUCUUUCUUUCUUUGUUUCUCGAACUAUUUAAUUUUCUGUACAGGCUAUGACAGACCUAUAAUAUGUCAGUUUAGCUCGGUUUAUAAUCAACUCUGUUCAAUACCAGCUUCUCUUUUGGUUUUGGCUGAGAAACCUUUCAACGAUCAAAAAUACUUAUCGUAGAUUUCGUAUGCCCCAGAAUCGCUCGCAUUUGCUUUCGUGCAGCAUUAAGAAAAGUAAUCGAUUAGCGUUAUCCUUAACAGUCAUUGCUACUAUGAAUAUAUCCAUUCCAAAUUCCUUUCAAUUGAUGCAAAACAGUGGAUAAAUCAAUAAUAUGACAAUGCAGAUAAACCUCACUCCUAAUUAUAAAGCUGUGACGAGUAUGUUAUUGGUUAUAUUCUAUUCUAAACAAUUUGUUGUUAUUUUUACUAGCCUUCUCAGGCAACCUGUGCUUCAGCAGGUAUCCCAGGUAUCCCAGGUGUUCCAGGAAAUCCCGGAAGAGAUGGCCUGCCUGGGGCAACUGGUCCUGCUGGGGCGAAAGGAGAUCCUGGGAGGCCUGGGAAAACAGGAAAUGUAGAACUUGUGACGUCACCUUGGAAACAAUGUGUGUGGAAAAGGGCUGAUAGCAAAGACACAGGAUUGAUACAG